GGAGUUAGCCGGUGCUUCUUCUGCGAGUAACGUCACAGAUGUAAGGUAUUAACUUACACCCUUUCCUCCUCGCUGAAAGUGCUUUACAACCCGAAGGCCUUCUUCACACACGCGGCAUGGCUGCAUCAGGGUUUCCCCCAUUGUGCAAUAUUCCCCACUGCUGCCUCCCGUAGGAGUCUGGGCCGUGUCUCAGUCCCAGUGUGGCUGAUCAUCCUCUCAGACCAGCUAGGGAUCGUCGCCUAGGUGAGCCUUUACCUCACCUACUAGCUAAUCCCACCUGGGCUUAUCCAUCAGCGCAAGGCCCGAAGGUCCCCUGCUUUCCCCCGUAGGGCGUAUGCGGUAUUAGCAGUCGUUUCCAACUGUUAUCCCCACAACUGGGCAAAUUCCCAGGCAUUACUCACCCGUCCGCCGCUCGUCAUCUUCAAAACGCAAGCUUUUAGAAAUGUUACCGCUCGACUUGCAUGUGUUAGGCCUGCCGCCAGCGUUCAUCUGAGCCAGGAUCAAACUCUGA
RNAcentral lists this ribosomal RNA (511 nucleotides) under uncultured bacterium. RNAcentral describes it as "partial 16S ribosomal RNA". The record is from RNAcentral.